RNAcentral lists this non-coding RNA (31 nucleotides) under Rattus norvegicus (Norway rat). Lineage: Eukaryota; Metazoa; Chordata; Mammalia; Rodentia; Muridae. The record is from RNAcentral.
UGCCUCAACUGACGUGGUGACACCUGGCAAU